CCUACGGGUGGCAGCAGUGGGGAAUAUUGGACAAUGGGCGAAAGCCUGAUCCAGCCAUGCCGCGUGUGUGAAGAAGGCCUUCGGGUUGUAAAGCACUUUCAGUGGGGAAGAAAGCCUUGGGGCUAAUACCCUCGAGGAAGGACAUCACCCACAGAAGAAGCACCGGCUAACUCCGUGCCAGCAGCCGCGGUAAUACGGAGGGUGCGAGCGUUAAUCGGAAUUACUGGGCGUAAAGCGCGCGUAGGCGGUCUGAUAAGCCGGUUGUGAAAGCCCCGGGCUCAACCUGGGAACGGCAUCCGGAGCUGUCAGGCUAGAGUGCAGGAGAGGAAGGUAGAAUUCCCGGUGUAGCGGUGAAAUGCGUAGAGAUCGGGAGGAAUACCAGUGGCGAAGGCGGCCUUCUGGACUGACACUGACGCUGAGGUGCGAAAGCGUGGGUAGCAAACAGGAUUAGAUACCCGUGUAGUC
Molecule: ribosomal RNA, 465 nt
Filed under: Vreelandella stevensii
Lineage: Bacteria; Pseudomonadati; Pseudomonadota; Gammaproteobacteria; Oceanospirillales; Halomonadaceae
Description: partial 16S ribosomal RNA
Rfam family: Bacterial small subunit ribosomal RNA
Source: RNAcentral